GACGAACGCUGGCGGCGUGCUUAACACAUGCAAGUCGAACGGAAACGCCCUGCUUUUUUGGGGUGCUCGAGUGGCGAACGGGUGAGUAACACGUGGGUACCCUGCCCUUCACUUUGGGGUGACUUCAUGAAACUGGGGCUAUUCCCGGCUAGGAGCUCCUGCUGCAGGGUGGGGGCUGGUAAGUUUCGGCGGUUGGGGGUGGACUCGCGGCCUAUCGGCUUGUUGGUGGGGUAGUGGCUUACCAAGGCUUUGCAGGGUAGCCGGCCUGCGAGGGUGACCGGCCACAGUGGGCCUGAGAUACGGCCCAGACUCCUACGGGAGGCAGGGGUGGGGAAGAGUGUACAGUGGGCGGAAGCCUGAUGUAGCAACGCCGCGUGGGGGAAGACAGCAAGCGGGUAGGAAACCGCUUUCGCCUGUGACGAAGCGUGAGUGACGGUAACGGGUAAAGAAGCACCGGCUAACUACGUG
Molecule: ribosomal RNA, 468 nt
Filed under: uncultured bacterium
Lineage: Bacteria
Description: partial 16S ribosomal RNA
Rfam family: Bacterial small subunit ribosomal RNA
Source: RNAcentral